Non-coding RNA from Cnephaeus nilssonii (northern bat), 75 nucleotides. The record is from the annotation of a GenBank genome assembly. NCBI's taxonomy places the organism in Eukaryota, Metazoa, Chordata, Mammalia, Chiroptera, Vespertilionidae.
GGCCAGGUGGUGCAGUGGAUUAACGAACUGGCUUUUAACCUUCAGGAGACCUGGGUUCAAAUCUCACUCAGGUCA